RNAcentral lists this ribosomal RNA (127 nucleotides) under Microbacterium azadirachtae. RNAcentral describes it as "partial 16S rRNA. Bacterial SSU". It matches the Rfam family "Bacterial small subunit ribosomal RNA", at positions 1 to 122 of the family's 1533-position model. Lineage: Bacteria; Bacillati; Actinomycetota; Actinomycetes; Micrococcales; Microbacteriaceae. The record is from RNAcentral.
UUUUUACGGAGAGUUUGAUCCUGGCUCAGGAUGAACGCUGGCGGCGUGCUUAACACAUGCAAGUCGAACGAUGAACCCGAAGCUUGCUUUGGGGGAUUAGUGGCGAACGGGUGAGUAACACGUGAGC